This 369-nucleotide ribosomal RNA is filed under the name uncultured bacterium. Its description in RNAcentral is "bacterial SSU rRNA". It matches the Rfam family "Bacterial small subunit ribosomal RNA", at positions 525 to 896 of the family's 1533-position model. The record is from RNAcentral.
ACGGAGGGUGCAAGCGUUAUCCGGAUUCACUGGGUUUAAAGGGUGCGUAGGCGGGCAGGUAAGUCAGUGGUGAAAUCUCCGAGCUUAACUCGGAAACUGCCGUUGAUACUAUUUGUCUUGAAUAUUGUGGAGGUAAGCGGAAUAUGUCAUGUAGCGGUGAAAUGCUUAGAUAUGACAUAGAACACCAAUUGCGAAGGCAGCUUACUACACAACGAUUGACGCUGAGGCACGAAAGCGUGGGGAUCAAACAGGAUUAGAUACCCUGGUAGUCCACGCCCUAAACGAUGAUUACUCGACAUACGCGAUACACUGUGUGUGUCUGAGCGAAAGCAUUAAGUAAUCCACCUGGGAAGUACGUUCGCAAGAAUG